UACGUAGGGGGCUAGCGUUGUCCGGAAUCAUUGGGCGUAAAGAGCGCGUAGGCGGCCAGAUAAGUCCGGUGUGAAAGUCACAGGCUCAACCUGUGAAUGCCGCUGGAAACUGCCGGGCUGGAGUCCGGAAGAGGCGAGUGGAAUUCCUGGUGUAGCGGUGAAAUGCGCAGAUAUCAGGAGGAACACCAAUGGCGAAGGCAGCUCGCUGGGACGGUACUGACGCUGAGACGCGAAAGCGUGGGGAGCAAACAGG
This 253-nucleotide ribosomal RNA is filed under the name uncultured bacterium. RNAcentral's name for it is "partial 16S ribosomal RNA". It matches the Rfam family "Bacterial small subunit ribosomal RNA", at positions 524 to 776 of the family's 1533-position model. The record is from RNAcentral.